Molecule: ribosomal RNA, 453 nt
Filed under: Triticum aestivum (bread wheat)
Lineage: Eukaryota; Viridiplantae; Streptophyta; Magnoliopsida; Poales; Poaceae
Description: partial small subunit ribosomal RNA
Source: RNAcentral
AUGUGCCCAGUGAAGCUGUUAUUGCUGGCGUUGAGCGCGAUCAGAUUCUUCAUCACCUUCCAUGUGGCUGAUGGAAAUUCUGAGCUGAACUGGUUGCUCGAGAUGUUGAGUACUUGCAGAGGCCGGUCAGUGGUAACCAAAUAUGGAAGCUCGGGCAGCGGUCCAUUGAGCCGGCUGAAGCUGACGUCGAGGACGAUGAUGCUUCCAGAGAACAUGAGCUCCGGAGGAAGGCCACCUGAGAAGGAGUUGUACGAGAGGUUGACAUGCAGCAGACUGGUGAGGUCGGCCAGGGAUGGCGAGAUGCGCCCUUCAAGUCCUUUAGAUCCCAGGGAGACCUCAGCAACGGCCCCGUCUCCAUUGCAGACGACGCCUUCCCACUCGCAGCAGUCCGUGCCGUUGUCGCGCCACGAUGCAGCGAGGCCGCCGUCUUGUGAUAGUCCGGCAAGGAACUGA